This 29-nucleotide small RNA is filed under the name Bombyx mori (domestic silkworm). RNAcentral's name for it is "ovarian small RNA-10779". Lineage: Eukaryota; Metazoa; Arthropoda; Insecta; Lepidoptera; Bombycidae. The record is from RNAcentral.
AAUCCAAGAUGAAGCCCGCCCCGAACGUC